This is a long non-coding RNA of Cygnus olor (mute swan), 1263 nucleotides long. RefSeq lists it as uncharacterized. The transcript is spliced from 2 exons. The record is from RefSeq and is a predicted model, not a curated record. NCBI's taxonomy places the organism in Eukaryota, Metazoa, Chordata, Aves, Anseriformes, Anatidae.
AGAGAAAAGAGAAAGGAGAAAGAGAGAAAGAAAAGAAGGAAAGAAGGAAAGAAGGAAGGAAGGAAGGAAGGAAGGAAGGAAGGAGGGAAGGAAGGAAGAAAAUAUCUUGAUCCAAAAAUAUUAGCUACACCAAAACAAGUUUUCCUGAAACUUUUAUGAUGAAAGGAAACUCCUGCAGUUCAUUUCUCGCCACAGUACACAUUUAAUAUUGAUGCAUCUCUUUACAAAACUGCUAACUGUUAUCUGCACUUGAGAGCAUAAUUUUCAGCUGUAUUUUAAUGUGGAUUUUCUCACGUUUGCAAUCCUUAAUUUAUACAUAAUAUUCAUUUUUUAGCAUUUCUCCAAGAGCCAGACUGUUGAGAAAUUAUUCUUUUCUGCUGCUUUCUGUCUGAUUAGAAUUCCAGCUACCCAUCAUUUACAGCCUCUCCCCUACAGAGGGCACCUUUGCCUUAUUGGAAUUGCUUCUACAAAAGAGAUCCUCGGUGGUUAUCAGAGAAAUAACUGAGCCUUAAAAAGAGAUCAGAUUUUUCACAGAUGCAAGGACCUUGUUUGCCUAGUCUUUUCAAUUAGCCACGUUUUGUACUACAAUUCAUAAAUGAGUAAUAGCAAUGUUACAUUCUAUGCUAUUACAGUCUCCACCAAGAAGAGGUGAGAUGAACUGGAGACUGCUGGGUUUACUUCAGAGGCCAAUGAGAUGAAAGCAUGAGCAUAAGUUUUUGUUUGUUUGUUUGUCUGCUUUGUUUUUCCACCAGUAAUUAUGGGUUUUGUCAUUAAAAUCUUUCUGAGUUGCACAGUAAAAACAUUGGCCAUGGGAAAAAAAGUCACAGACAGAAAGUCAACCAUCUCCCGAAUAAAUCUUACUAACAGACCUUCAAUUAAUAACUGUUAUCUGAAAGCUGUUCAAGUGGAAUAAAAUAAGGUUUUACUUUCUUUUGUAGAGUUAAGCCUUCAAAACUGAUUCUAAAAUUCUUAUUUGUGGAAAAAAAUCAAUUGACUGCAAGACUGAGCCCCAAACUAAUUUUCUUCCUGAUUUUGUUGGUGUGCUAUUAUUUAUGAAGUGUCAUGUAUAUCAUUCAUAGUAUCUGCUAGUUCUGAAUAAAAUUAGCAAUACAUUUAUGUUCAAUAUUGUUUUUUUCAGCUCAAUCUGUAAAACAGGCUUCCUUUACAGGCCAUUUCACUAAUGUGUUAAGACAGACGCAAACGUCAUUGAUUUGUAAAUGGCAAAGUGAAAAUUCUGAAGAAUAAAGAAAAAUCUUUUCUCUG